This is a long non-coding RNA of Monodelphis domestica (gray short-tailed opossum), 1092 nucleotides long. RefSeq lists it as uncharacterized. Lineage: Eukaryota; Metazoa; Chordata; Mammalia; Didelphimorphia; Didelphidae. The record is from RefSeq and is a predicted model, not a curated record.
GGUUGAUGAACCAUUAUCUUAGGACUUGGGUUAAAAUCCCCACUCCUAUCUUGUUUUUUCUCCAAUUGUUUUGUCAUGCUUAUGACUUCACUCUCCUUUGCCUAGGCCAGUGAUGGUGAACCUUUUAGAGACUCAGUGCUCCAACUGCCACAUAUGAGCCCCCACCAUCUUACCCCAGAGAGGAGAGGGAGAAAUUCUCCCAUUGGGCUGCUGGGCAGAGGGGUCUAUACAACACAGUGAUAGUGAAGAAGUCAGCUUGUUAAAGGUGCCUCCAACUGAAUGAUGACAGGAACAGGGACAGGAUACAAGGAGCUUGUUUGUUUCAAGGUUUAAAAGCACGAACAAUAAUGAUAACAAACAUAAGCCCAUCAAGAGAAAAUUGAGAAAGAAGGAAGAAUGUUUGUGGCUGUGAGAUCUGUGACUGUCAUGGAAUAUAAUAUAUUUUAAUAUGAACUCUCAUUCUCCAGAUGGACACACAAAGUAAUAAGCUUAGAGAUGAACAUUUGACAACUUGAAACAGGAAAAAUGAAGAAACCACUUCCAAAUGCUUCUAAAGGGUAACAAUGCUAAAUUCUGGUCAAACCAUUGACCUCAUAAAGAAUAAGGAUUCAGCAGCCUGAGCUGAAAUGUCUUCAGAUUUCAGGUAGUGUCCUUAAUGAACCACAGAAGAAUAAUACAGCUCCAUCAUCUAAACUCAAGUGAGGUCAUAGUUCCACCCCUGCCAAUAAUCACACCCAGAUCCAGUUGAAGUACCAUCAGGGUCCAUGGAGCUUGAUAAUCAAGACAAAAUAGUCAGCAAUCUUACUUAGGGGCUAGAGACUACUUGCAUGUUCCAGAGUAGAAAACUUAGUAAUAAAUGGUUUCUUGUCACUGAAUUGACCCCCCACCCCCAAACACUAUGCUUCUAUAGGAGGAAAGAGUGUGGCUUAUGUGGCUUAUGAGUAUGAAAAAUAGAAGUAUAGAUUUAGAAUUAGAAGAAAUUUCAAAGGUCUUGAAAAAUGAAGUGAUUUAUCCAAGGUCACAAAAAUAGUAGGUGGCAGAGCCAAGAAUGAAAUCAAUAUCUUCAUCUACACCAAGUCUAGGCUUUCCAAU